This is a non-coding RNA of Pelobates cultripes (western spadefoot toad), 397 nucleotides long. Lineage: Eukaryota; Metazoa; Chordata; Amphibia; Anura; Pelobatidae. The record is from the annotation of a GenBank genome assembly.
CAAAAGAAGGACUUGACAGGCUCAGAAAAGUCAAAAAUAGUGAGAUAUCUUGCAGAGGGAUGCAGCACUCUUAAAAUUGCAAAGCUUCUGAAGCGUGAUCAUCGAACAAUCAAGCGUUUCAUUCAAAAUAGUCAACAGGGUCGCAAUAAGCGUGUGGAAAAACCAAGGCGCAAAAUAACUGCCCAUGAACUGAGAAAAGUCAAGCGUGCAGCUGCCACGAUGCCACUUGCCACCAGUUUGGCCAUAUUUCAGAGCUGCAACAUCACUGGAGUGCCCAAAAGCACAAGGUGUGCAAUACUCAGAGACAUGGCCAAGGUAAGAAAGGCUGAAAGACGACCACCACUGAACAAGACACACAAGCUGAAACGUCAAGACUGGGCCAAGAAAUAUCUCAAGA